Long non-coding RNA from Solanum tuberosum (potato), 660 nucleotides. RefSeq lists it as uncharacterized. The transcript has 3 exons. Lineage: Eukaryota; Viridiplantae; Streptophyta; Magnoliopsida; Solanales; Solanaceae. The record is from RefSeq and is a predicted model, not a curated record.
GAUAUUGCAUCAAUUCAACAUUAUUAUUCAUUUCUGGUGCGACAGCUCUCUCUGUUAGUUCGGUGCAUCUACCAGUGAUAAUGGUCAAAUGGGUCAAUUUGCUGAUCUCCACAACCAACUCCACAAGAAUGUUGGAAAGAAAUAAAGAUAUUUCAAGUCUUUGAGAAGGUGAUGGAAGAAAAAUAGUAUCUGGCAUGGCACGACAAUUGAAGGAGUCACAUACUUCUAUUUUGUAGCAUCACGGCAUCUAUUUGGUUCACAAAAGACAUUAUGACCAACAAAAAAUUGUUUGAGUAUUAAAAUAAACUCCAGAGAAUUCCGAGGUCUCUCAUCUGAUGUUAGAACUUCAUGUGGCCAAUUCAAAGGUACUUCCUGAGCUAUUAAAUUCAAGGAGUAGUUCUUCAACCUCUAUUUCUUUUCCUUCCUUGGCGAUUUCAUUUGGUUGCAUUGCGACUUUGGGUCCCAUGUUGGAUUCCAAAUAUGACUUGAAGAACGACCCAAGCAGCUAUGCCUGCAAGGUGUUCGCUGAAAUGCCCGAUAAGAAAAUUGACAUGGAAGUCGAACAUCCAGUGAUAAAUGAUUCAGCAAAUUCAGCAUCCCAUAUGUUUGAUGAAAUUUUUCAAACGAUUUCUGCAUUUAAGGGAGAGUACGGUGACCUUA